Molecule: ribosomal RNA, 301 nt
Filed under: uncultured bacterium
Lineage: Bacteria
Description: partial 16S ribosomal RNA
Rfam family: Bacterial small subunit ribosomal RNA
Source: RNAcentral
CAGCAGCCGCGGGAAUACGAAGGGUGCAAGCGUUAAUCGGAAUUACUGGGCGUAAAGCGUGCGUAGGCGGUUUGUUAAGUCUGUUGUGAAAUCCCCGGGCUCAACCUGGGAAUGGCAAUGGAUACUGGCAAGCUAGAGUGUGUCAGAGGAUGGUGGAAUUCCCGGUGUAGCGGUGAAAUGCGUAGAGAUCGGGAGGAACAUCAGUGGCGAAGGCGGCCAUCUGGGCCAACACUGACACUGAGGCACGAAAGCGUGGGGAGCAAACAGGAUUAGAUACCCCCGUAGUCCCUGUCUCUUAUAC